UACGUAGGUGGCAAGCGUUGUCCGGAUUUACUGGGCGUAAAGAGCGCGCAGGCGGUCGUUCAAGUCGCGUGUGAAAGCCCCCGGCUCAACUGGGGAGGGUCACGCGAUACUGAUCGACUCGAAGGCAGGAGAGGGAAGUGGAAUUCCCGGUGUAGUGGUGAAAUGCGUAGAUAUCAGGAAGAACACCCGUGGCGAAGGCGGUUCUCUGGGACGGUACUGACGCUGAGACGCGAAAGCGUGGGGAGCGAACAGG
RNAcentral lists this ribosomal RNA (253 nucleotides) under uncultured bacterium. RNAcentral's name for it is "partial 16S ribosomal RNA". It matches the Rfam family "Bacterial small subunit ribosomal RNA", at positions 524 to 776 of the family's 1533-position model. The record is from RNAcentral.